This 506-nucleotide ribosomal RNA is filed under the name Plateumaris braccata. RNAcentral describes it as "partial 16S ribosomal RNA". The stretch from base 380 to 506 matches the Rfam family "Bacterial large subunit ribosomal RNA", at positions 2473 to 2600 of the family's 2925-position model. The record is from RNAcentral. Lineage: Eukaryota; Metazoa; Arthropoda; Insecta; Coleoptera; Chrysomelidae.
GGCCUAUUGAAAGAAGAAUUUUAGGUCUAGCCUGCCCCCUGAUUAUUUAAAUGGCCGCAGUAUUUUGACUGUGCUAAGGUAGCAUAAUCAUUAGUUUUUUAAUUGAAAGCUAGUAUGAAUGGUAUUAUGAGAAAAUUUCUGUCUCUUUUAAAAAAUUAAAAUUUUAUUUUUAAGUAAAAAAGCUUAAAUAGUAUUAAAAGACGAGAAGACCCUAUAGAAUUUUAUUUAAAUAAAUUUUUAAUAAAUUAGUAAUUAAUAUUUAAAAAGGGAUUUAUAUUUAAUUGGGGUGAUUAGAAAAAUUAAAGAUCUUUUUUUUAUUUUAACAUUAAUGUAUGAUAAAAUGAUUCAUAAUAAUGAUUUAAGAAUAAAUUACCUUAGGGAUAACAGCGUUAUUUUUUUUUAGAGUUCUAAUCAAAAAAAAAGAUUGCGACCUCGAUGUUGGAUUAAAAUUAAUUUUUGGUGUAGUAGCUAAAGGAUUGAGUCUGUUCGACUCUAAAAAUUUUACA